Molecule: ribosomal RNA, 393 nt
Filed under: Triticum aestivum (bread wheat)
Lineage: Eukaryota; Viridiplantae; Streptophyta; Magnoliopsida; Poales; Poaceae
Description: partial small subunit ribosomal RNA
Source: RNAcentral
AUGGAUGUGAGGCCUUGUCUAUUCAGGAAGGGUCACGUGGUUAUAGUGGAGUGUGAUGGCUUCACGAACGUGUCUGACUAUGCCUAUGAUAAAAUCCAGGUCUGGGCAAGAACCAAGGGACUACUCGAUGGUCUUAGGGGGAAUAAGGAUUUGGAUGUGAAGGUUGGUACGGAAGUGGGAGAACCAACGAUCACGGUGGUGGUCAAUGAAGGAAAGAUUAAUCCGUCAAGCUUUCUUCGUGCAAGAGUUUAUGUUGAUGUCAACAAGCCACUGGUGAGAUUUGUGCCAAUCACUUCUAUGGAGACGAAUAAAUGCCAUGUUUAUUAUGAAAAAACUUCCAGAUUUUUGCUUCUUCUGCGGGUGUAUGGGCCAUGUGGUGGAAGAAUGCGGUGA